AAGAGUCAAGGAGGAGCUAGCAAAGCUUUUUCAGAGUGAGUAGUGAGGAAGGACUGGCAAGAAAACCCAGCAGCCUGGAAGUGAAGUGGAGAAAAUAACUUAAGAAAGAAGGCAUGAUUCUGAACCUCAUUGAUGACCACACUGAAAACAAGGAGAUACUACUUGUAACACCUUCUUUGACAGGCAAAAGUAAAGGAGAAGGAAGAACAAUUUAAGCAGCAAACCAACAGAAUUGCUCAAUCACCAAGGAGAGUCACAAGGGGACAAGAAUCAUAGACAUCCACAGUAGCCCGUUCCCAGUUUUCAUCUUGCACAGAAAUGACUAAGAGUAUGAGAGAAAAUAAAUGAAUAGUCACAGAAUUUAUUACUUCCACUGAAAUCAACAAACAUCUUUGGGAAAAAUAACAGGGCUCACGUAAGCCCCGUGUCAUUUAAAAACCCUCUGGAGCAUGCAAUUUUUGGUUCAUUCUUUCUUUAUAUUUGUCAGUUUUCCCUACUGAUUGGAACCUUCUGGGGACUAUUAUCUCAUUUUCUUCAAUAAUCUUACCUGAUUUUGACCCACUUAAACCAUGAAUAGCUCUGGUUUUAAUUAAUUGGAUAUUUUCAGAUUACAGUGUGACCCCUUGCCCAAAAUAUCAGGAGGAUUUCAUGUAUAAUUUCAGCUUUCUUUAAAGUCGUAAAAUCUUCCUGGUUAAGAAACUGCUGUAUUUUAACUUGCUUCAUUUUUUCAUAACACACAAAAUCCAAUAUUAUUCAAUUUCCCCUAUUUUAGACAGACUAGAAAAAAGUGAAAGUAAAUGAAUACAUUGGUUCAUUUCUGCUCUUCAUUUUACAAUUAUAUUUCCUGUUAUAAUUGAAGAAAGUCACAAUGAAUAUGCUUGAAAAGCCUUCUGUUGUUAAAUCUAACAACACCAGUGCUGCUGCGCCAGUAAAAGGCAGUUAGAGAGAUUUUAUGUAAAAGAUUUUUUGGCAAAAACAGGAGGAACAAUACUUUCUAAGUCUGUACUCUCAUGUAGAGACCUAUGUCAUCCUCAUUCUAGGGCCUUCCAUUACAGGAUUAUUAGUUCUGACAGGGUUUUUCCUUCUAUCUCAUUAGAGACAACAAAAAGCCUGCUGAGGGGCACACAUACACACACACACACACACACACAUGCUAUAUAUAUAUGUAUAUGUAUAUACACACACACACAUAUAUACAAACACACAUACACACACACACACACACACACACAUAUCCACAGAUAUAGAUAGAUAGAUAUCCAUGGAAAAGAAAGAAAUAUUUUUAUUCAAAAUAAACUGAAAUUCAGUUUUAUGAACCCCAAAUCCUACUGUUAAUAAAUAUUACAAGCAGGAAAGCGCCAUGAUAUAUUUACCUUCCUUUAAAUGAAAGUCAUCUGGCUAGAUACAGAUCUUGGUGGGUAAUUAAUAUAGAUAUUGGAGAAAUGUAGGCAACACUCGAGAUAGUGGAUCUUAGUGGAAUAUCCUUUGGACAACUAAACCUAUGUGCAAAUCUCUGUCCUGCUGUCGACUACUUGUGUGACCUUGGGUCAAUUACUUGACUCAGCUGAGCUUCUUUCUCUUUACUUGUUAAGAUUUGUUGUCAUACGUGUACUCACAUAUAGAGUGGCUGAGUGGGUUAAAUGAAAUAGACAAUGGUGAUAAA
Molecule: long non-coding RNA, 1663 nt
Organism: Pongo pygmaeus (Bornean orangutan)
Lineage: Eukaryota; Metazoa; Chordata; Mammalia; Primates; Hominidae
Exons: 2
Source: RefSeq, a predicted model, not a curated record